UGCGUAGGCGGGGCAAUUAGUCAGUGGUGAAAUCCUGCGGCUUAACCGUAGAAUUGCCAUUGAUACUGUUGCCCUUGAGUAUAGUUGAAGUGGGCGGAAUAUGUAAUGUAGCGGUGAAAUGCAUAGAGAUUACAUAGAACACCAAUUGCGAAGGCAGCUCACUAAGCUAUCACUGACGCUGAGGCACGAAAGCGUGGGGAGUGAACAGGAUUAGAUACCCUGGUAGUCC
This 229-nucleotide ribosomal RNA is filed under the name uncultured bacterium. RNAcentral's name for it is "partial 16S ribosomal RNA". It matches the Rfam family "Bacterial small subunit ribosomal RNA", at positions 568 to 796 of the family's 1533-position model. The record is from RNAcentral.